RNAcentral lists this long non-coding RNA (378 nucleotides) under Theobroma cacao (cacao). RNAcentral describes it as "long non-coding RNA (TCAC_LNC003612)". The record is from RNAcentral. Lineage: Eukaryota; Viridiplantae; Streptophyta; Magnoliopsida; Malvales; Malvaceae.
UUUUCAGCUAACCUACUUAGAUGAGGCAGCAAAUAUUAAAUGAUAGAUAAGUAUUUUUUUUUUCACAAAUUUCAUUUAUUGAAACCAAUAAUGUAGGGUACCUAGCUUUCUUCUAUCUUCCCCUUUCUUGCUUUUGGUUCCCUUCCUUUUCAACUCUAACUAAUUUGAGCUUCUCCUUAAUUUUCUACUCCCCUACUUUCCAAUUAUUUCCCAUUUUGAGAAAUCAAAUUCUUUUCUUUCUUCCAAUGGAAAUUAGCUUACUACUCCUUAUCAUUAUUAUAAUUAUUUUAAUAUAAGAUGAGUUGAAUGAAAUUUCGUAAUCACAAUUGCUAACCCUAAUUAGGGGUGAACAUUAAUCGGUAAAAAUCAAAAUAUUCG